UACGGAGGGUGCGAGCGUUGUCCGGAAUCACUGGGCGUAAAGGGCGCGUAGGUGGCGCGGGCAGUCAACGGUGAAAGUUCGGGGCUCAACCCUGAAUCGGCCGUCGAUACUCCCGUGCUUGAGCACUGUAGAGGCAGAUGGAAUUCCCGGGUGUAGCCGGUGGAAUGCGUAGAGAUCCGGAAGAACACCGGUGGCGAAGGCGGUCUGCUGGGCAGUAGCUGACACUGAGGCGCGACAGCGUGGGGAGCGAACAGG
This 255-nucleotide ribosomal RNA is filed under the name uncultured bacterium. RNAcentral describes it as "partial 16S ribosomal RNA". It matches the Rfam family "Bacterial small subunit ribosomal RNA", at positions 524 to 776 of the family's 1533-position model. The record is from RNAcentral.